RNAcentral lists this long non-coding RNA (335 nucleotides) under Malus domestica (apple). RNAcentral's name for it is "long non-coding RNA (MDOM_LNC019161)". The record is from RNAcentral. Lineage: Eukaryota; Viridiplantae; Streptophyta; Magnoliopsida; Rosales; Rosaceae.
UGAACAACUCUUGAAAGUUUGUAAUUAUGUUUAGAACAUAAUGGUUGGUUGACAAAAAUAGUGCAUCAACAUGGACUUAUGAUGAUGAUUUUGAAUCAUUGAGUGUUGAAGUGUUAGAACACUUCUAGAGACGGGAACUAGGCAAGGACUUCACCUUUGUGUCCCUAUCCUUAUGGUUCACUAAGUUUAUUGUAAACUAUGUAGUGAACAAUAAACACAUACUCUCCAAAAUGUUUGAUGUGUAUAACACAAUUGAAAUAAGUUUCAAGAGAGAUAGUGGGAGUUUAGGGACCUUGACUAUGGUAGUCAAAGGAGAAGUCAAAUGAAGAAAGCGA